Arvicola amphibius (Eurasian water vole) is the source of this 480-nucleotide long non-coding RNA. RefSeq lists it as uncharacterized. NCBI's taxonomy places the organism in Eukaryota, Metazoa, Chordata, Mammalia, Rodentia, Cricetidae. The record is from RefSeq and is a predicted model, not a curated record. The transcript has 3 exons.
CCGAGCAACCGAAGCUGCCUUAGCUGAGCUGUUUCAAGGUCUUCUGUUCGAUGGAUACAUAUGGUGGCUUGGGGCCAGGGAAAGAUGGUGGGCGCUUACCACAACCUCUUUGCCUGAAGAUUGAUCAGGAAAGGCCACAACACAUUCAAGUCUAAACUCCAAAGGUGCUGGCUAAUCUCCUUCCCAGCCCUAAAAUCAUGAGUAAGGGAUCCCUUGGAAGCUCUUCAUCUUGGAAUGGAAACAAUAUUCAAUGGUAGCCCUGGGCAACCUAGAAUUCUCUAUAUGACCUUGGACUCCUUAUCUUCUUGUCUCCCUCCCCCCUCCUGUGGAUUACAAACGUGAGUUACUAAGUCCUGCUCCUCUGGGCUUUGCGCAUGCUAGACGAGUGGUCUACCAUCUGAGCCACAUAUACCCUCCCACAACCCAAUUGAGUUGUAGAUGCAUUUGAUUUGCCUUGGACUUUCUUAGAUGCUGAGGAGA